UACGUAGGGAGCAAGCGUUGUCCGGAAUCAUUGGGCGUAAAGCGCGCGUAGGCGGCCCCAUAAGUCCGCUGUGAAAGUCAAAGGCUCAACCUUUGAAAGCCGGUGGAUACUGUGGGGCUAGAGUACGGAAGAGGCGAGUGGAAUUCCUGGUGUAGCGGUGGAAUGCGCAGAUAUCGGGAAGAACACCUAUGGCGAAGGCAGCUCUCUGGGACGGUACUGACGCUGAGACGCGAAAGCGUGGGGAGCGAACAGG
This 253-nucleotide ribosomal RNA is filed under the name uncultured bacterium. RNAcentral describes it as "partial 16S ribosomal RNA". It matches the Rfam family "Bacterial small subunit ribosomal RNA", at positions 524 to 776 of the family's 1533-position model. The record is from RNAcentral.